UGUUAAGUCAGGUAACGAGCGAGAUCCCUAUCUCUAGUUGCUACUGCUGCUCUCAGGAGUAGUAGAGCUAAUUAGAGGGACCGCCGCCGCUGAGGCGGAGGAAGGAGGGGGCUACGGCAGGUCAGUAUGCCCCGAAACCCUCGGGCCACACGCGGGCUGCAAUGGUAAGGACAAUGGGUUCCUAUUCCGAAAGGAGGAGGCAAUCCCCAAACCUUACCCCAGUUAUGAUUGAGGGCUGAAACUCGCCCUCAUGAAUAUGGAAUCCCUAGUAACCGCGUGUCAUCAUCGCGCGGUGAAUACGUCCCUGCUCC
Molecule: ribosomal RNA, 311 nt
Filed under: uncultured archaeon
Lineage: Archaea
Description: bacterial SSU rRNA
Rfam family: Archaeal small subunit ribosomal RNA
Source: RNAcentral